This 433-nucleotide ribosomal RNA is filed under the name uncultured bacterium. RNAcentral's name for it is "partial 16S ribosomal RNA". It matches the Rfam family "Bacterial small subunit ribosomal RNA", at positions 29 to 507 of the family's 1533-position model. The record is from RNAcentral.
AACGAACGCUGGCGGCAUGCCUAACACAUGCAAGUCGAACGAGACCUUCGGGUCUAGUGGCGCACGGGUGCGUAACGCGUGGGAACCUGCCCUUAGGUUCGGAAUAACUCCCCGAAAGGGGUGCUAAUACCGGAUAAUGUCUUCGGACCAAAGAUUUAUCGCCUUUGGAUGGGCCCGCGUUGGAUUAGCUAGUUGGUAGGGUAAAAGCCUACCAAGGCGACGAUCCAUAGCUGGUCUGAGAGGAUGAUCAGCCACACUGGGACUGAGACACGGCCCAGACUCCUACGGGAGGCAGCAAUGGGGAAUAUUGGACCAUGGGCGAAAGCCUGAUCCAGCAAUGCCGCGUGAGUGAUGAAGGCCUUAGGGUUGUAAAGCUCUUUUACCCGGGAUGAUAAUGACAGUACCGGGAGAAUAAGCUCCGGCUAACUCCGUG